This is a long non-coding RNA of Daphnia magna, 854 nucleotides long. RefSeq lists it as uncharacterized. Lineage: Eukaryota; Metazoa; Arthropoda; Branchiopoda; Diplostraca; Daphniidae. The record is from RefSeq and is a predicted model, not a curated record. The transcript has 4 exons.
UUACAACUGUCAAUGCAUUGCAGUCAGUGCAGAAGGCUGUAUAACAGUCACUAAACAUAGUAAACAUGCUGCCAGAACGGAGACUAUGGAGAAGAAAGUUACACAGCGGCGACAAGAUACCUAAUUUUUGAUGCUAUAUCCACAUGUAUUAUGGUGGUCAUCUGAACAGGUAUUGCAGUCACUAAACAUAGUAAACAUGCUGCCAGAACGGAGAUUAUAGAGAAGAAAGUUACACAGCGGCGACAAGAUACCUAAUUUUUGAUGCUAUAUCCACAUGUAUUAUGGUGGUCACCUGAACAGGUAUUGCAGUCAAUAAACAUAGUAAAAAUGCUGCCAGAACGGAGACUAUGGACAAGAAAGUUACACAGCGGCGACAAGAUACCUAAUUUUUGAUGCUGUAUCCACAUGUAUUAAUCUUAUCACCUUAUCAAUUACUAAACACUUUAUCAAAUCUUAUCAUGUAUUAAAUUAUCACUUGUAUCAAGCUUGAAAAAACUGACAGUUGACAUGCUGAAAGUCGUGUCAAUAACAAGAGCUGUUCUGCUAUUGAUAUGAUGUCCGCUGUGUGGCGCGACAUGACGUGUCAUUUUUUAUAAUUUUUUUUUCGUAGAGGCAGAGUUAUAAGAGGAGAUGGUUAUGGCAAUCAGUUUUUUUGCCAUAAUAUGGCAACCGGUUUUCCCUCAAUAAAAAUUCGUGCAGGAACGUAAAAAAAAUAAUCCUACCCAUUCGCCAUCUAGCGGCCGAUUGCGAACUAGGUUUCCACAAUCUAGUUUGCAAAGUAAACAUGUCUUUCUCAAUUCCUGUUCCUUUAUAAUUAUAUUAGAUUGAACUAAAAAUUGUCUUUUAUAAGCUAG